RNAcentral lists this long non-coding RNA (1576 nucleotides) under Homo sapiens (human). RNAcentral describes it as "HSALNT0075105". Lineage: Eukaryota; Metazoa; Chordata; Mammalia; Primates; Hominidae. The record is from RNAcentral.
UGACAGGGUGUGUAAAGCAAAAAAAUUGAAAUUAAUCACCCAGGCAAAGCAAUGACAGAUCCAAAGGUCAUUGUUUUGUUCACUCAAAUACUUUAUUAGAUACCUUGAUCAAAAAUUAUGUUCAUGUUUCAAAAUCUUUAACUUGUUGGUACCAUAAUCGAUUAACUUUUGCAUAAAUUCUAGUGAAACAAUUACAUUCAAUUUCAAAAUAAAAAGUGUUUACUAAUAUAAUGAGCUGUUCUCCAUGAAGAGUCUGAGCAGUAACUAUCAACCCACACAUUUUAAUUUCUUAAGAUAUUGUGCUUCUUUUACAGUUGGAAUUUAUUCCAACUUAUUCAGCUUUCUGUACUCACCUUAAACAAUAACUUUGUUUAAUUGAGAAUCAGAAUUAUUCUAAGAAUUUAGCACAAGAGAUAUAAUUAUUCUUCAAGUGGCCUCUUAACAUCUUUUGCAUCCUAUCUUAUGUGGACUGAUCUCGAAGAAUUUAAGAGAUGACUUAGAAUUGGAAGAAAUGCCCUACUCAAUUUCAUUAGAACAAUUGUUUAUUAAGCAUUUACUAUGUGCCAGUGCUAGUCAGUAUGCUAAGUGUUGCAGGGAGCACAAACAUGAACAAUAUAUCUCUUGUCAUUGACAGUGUUAAUAGAUGGCUGGGGAAUGGUUAGAUCCACUGUGAUCUUUAUUGUUCACCACAUCUAACCCAAAACAGCACACAAUCUAAGUAAAAGCACCGUGCCUAAUAUUUUAAAUUACCUUCUUGUCACAUACGCUAUUAGGAGCACUCCACCCCCACUUCACACCCUUAACAAGAUUAGCACUUCUAAGUCUCUUCUACCUUGGCUCUGGUACUGAAGAAACAUGGUCUGAUAAGGAAAAAAAGUUCUGGAGGAGCACUAAGAUGUGAAAACUGGAUGAGAAAAACAUGCCAAGAAGAGAGAGCGUUCAUCAUAUUUUCUGUUUGCAUACGUCCUUGGUGCUUCUGAAGCUUUGAGGCUUAGCUUCCCCUCAUUGUACACAGGAAAAUUCUUCUUGACUUAUGUGUGUUGUUCACAAAAGUACUAAGUAGCAUCAUGGAAUUUGAGAAGGUGUUUUCUCAAAUCAUUUGUUUUUGAGUGUAUCUCAAUAUUACAAUUUCAGAAGACAAUUAGAACUAGGAUAAUAGAAAUAUAGAGAGAAUGCAUGUUAAAUUACAGACAAGCAUCAAUGAUGGUUGAAAUUCCCAUAGAACCAAGUUGGAAAAUAUGAUCUGUCGUUUAAGACCAAUUCCACACAUAGGAGGAAUUGGAAGUUGCCUAACAAAACAGAUUUAGGCACAAAAGUCAGGGCAUUGUUCUAGAACAAUGGUCUUUAAAGUGUGCUAUAGAUCAAUGUUUCUACGUUCAUUAUCAGAAUCUAAUUACUCUGAGUGUGAUGUUUUUCUUUAAUCUCUUAGGGAAGGAGGGCAUCUUCAAAGCCUGCUAGGUGUGGCUUCUUUUAAAUUCUGUAGUAUAGACAUUUUCUUACACAGCUUUUGUAUGUGGAUCCAUCGAAACACCAAAAAUAAACUGAAUGCUUAGUCCUUGGUCUGAAACAGUCAUCC